GAUGAACGCUGGCGGCGUGCCUAAUACAUGCAAGUCGAGCGAACAGACGAGGAGCUUGCUCCUCUGACGUUAGCGGCGGACGGGUGAGUAACACGUGGAUAACCUACCUAUAAGACUGGGAUAACUUCGGGAAACCGGAGCUAAUACCGGAUAAUAUAUUGAACCGCAUGGUUCAAUAGUGAAAGACGGUUUUGCUGUCACUUAUAGAUGGAUCCGCGCCGCAUUAGCUAGUUGGUAAGGUAACGGCUUACCAAGGCAACGAUGCGUAGCCGACCUGAGAGGGGGACCGGCAACACUGGAACUGAGACACGGCCCAGACUCCAACGGGAGGCAGAAGAGGGGAAUCUUCCGAAAGGGGCGAAAGCCUGACGGAGCAACGCCGGGGGGGUGAGGAAGUUCUCCGGUUCGAAAAACUCUGUUAUUGGGGAAGAACAAAUGUGUAAGUAACUAUGCACGUUUGAACGGAACCUAAGCAGAAAGCCACGGCUAACUCCGU
This 496-nucleotide ribosomal RNA is filed under the name uncultured bacterium. RNAcentral describes it as "partial 16S ribosomal RNA". It matches the Rfam family "Bacterial small subunit ribosomal RNA", at positions 28 to 506 of the family's 1533-position model. The record is from RNAcentral.